UACGGAGGGUGCAAGCAUUGAUCGGAAUUACUGGGCGUAAAGGGCGCGUAGGCGGUUAGAUAAGUCAGAUGUGAAAUUUCGCAGCUCAACUGCGAAGCUGCAUUUGAAACUGUGUGACUGGAGGGUAGUUAGGGAAAACGAAAUUCCACAUGUAGCGGUGAAAUGCGUAGAUAUGUGGAGGAGCACCGGUGGUGAAGACGGUUUUCUGGAGUACACCUGACGCUGAGGCGCGAAAGCUAGGGGAGCAAACAGG
This 253-nucleotide ribosomal RNA is filed under the name uncultured prokaryote. Its description in RNAcentral is "partial 16S ribosomal RNA". It matches the Rfam family "Bacterial small subunit ribosomal RNA", at positions 524 to 776 of the family's 1533-position model. The record is from RNAcentral.